RNAcentral lists this ribosomal RNA (349 nucleotides) under uncultured bacterium. RNAcentral describes it as "partial 16S ribosomal RNA". It matches the Rfam family "Bacterial small subunit ribosomal RNA", at positions 338 to 679 of the family's 1533-position model. The record is from RNAcentral.
CCUACGGGAGGCAGCAGUGGGGAAUAUUGCGCAAUGGGCGAAAGCCUGACGCAGCGACGCCGCGUGAGGGAUGAAGGUCUUCGGAUCGUAAACCUCUGUCAGCAGGGAAGAACGGUCACUGUGCUAAUCAGCAGUGAAUUGACGGUACCUGCAAAGGAAGCACCGGCUAACUCCGUGCCAGCAGCCGCGGUAAUACGGAGGGUGCGAGCGUUAAUCGGAAUUACUGGGCGUAAAGCGCUCGUAGGCGGUAUGUCAAGUCAAGGGUGAAAUCCCCGCGCUCAACGUGGGAACUGCCUUUGAAACUUGCAAACUGGGGUGUGUUAGAGGAGAAGUGAAUUUCAGGUGGAGG